This 102-nucleotide Y RNA is filed under the name Prolemur simus (greater bamboo lemur). RNAcentral's name for it is "Y RNA (ENSPSMG00000004051.1)". It matches the Rfam family "Y RNA". From Rfam's summary of the family: Y RNAs are components of the Ro ribonucleoprotein particle (Ro RNP), in association with Ro60 and La proteins. The Y RNAs and Ro60 and La proteins are well conserved, but the function of the Ro RNP is not known. The record is from Rfam by way of RNAcentral. Lineage: Eukaryota; Metazoa; Chordata; Mammalia; Primates; Lemuridae.
GGCUGGUCCGAGUGCGGUGGUGUUUACAACUAAUUGGUCACAACCAGUUACAGAUUUCUUUGCUCCUUCUCCAUGCCUGCUACUCUACUUGAGUAGCCUUUA